RNAcentral lists this ribosomal RNA (203 nucleotides) under uncultured Streptococcus sp. Its description in RNAcentral is "partial 16S ribosomal RNA". It matches the Rfam family "Bacterial small subunit ribosomal RNA", at positions 1180 to 1382 of the family's 1533-position model. Lineage: Bacteria; Bacillati; Bacillota; Bacilli; Lactobacillales; Streptococcaceae. The record is from RNAcentral.
UGACGUCAAAUCAUCAUGCCCCUUAUGACCUGGGCUACACACGUGCUACAAUGGUUGGUACAACGAGUUGCGAGUCGGUGACGGCGAGCUAAUCUCUUAAAGCCAAUCUCAGUUCGGAUUGUAGGCUGCAACUCGCCUACACGAAGUCGGAAUCGCUAGUAAUCGCGGAUCAGCACGCCGCGGUGAAUACGUUCCCGGGUCUU